RNAcentral lists this ribosomal RNA (470 nucleotides) under uncultured Hydrogenophaga sp. Its description in RNAcentral is "bacterial SSU rRNA". It matches the Rfam family "Bacterial small subunit ribosomal RNA", at positions 912 to 1382 of the family's 1533-position model. Lineage: Bacteria; Pseudomonadati; Pseudomonadota; Betaproteobacteria; Burkholderiales; Comamonadaceae. The record is from RNAcentral.
AGACGGGGACCCGCACAAGCGGUGGAUGAUGUGGUUUAAUUCGAUGCAACGCGAAAACCUUACCCACCUUUGACAUGUAUGGAAGUUUCCAGAGAUGGAUUCGUGCUCGAAAGAGAGCCAUAACACAGGUGCUGCAUGGCUGUCGUCAGCUCGUGUCGUGAGAUGUUGGGUUAAGUCCCGCAACGAGCGCAACCCUUGUCAUUAGUUGCUACAUUCAGUUGGGCACUCUAAUGAGACUGCCGGUGACAAACCGGAGGAAGGUGGGGAUGACGUCAAGUCCUCAUGGCCCUUAUAGGUGGGGCUACACACGUCAUACAAUGGCCGGUACAAAGGGUCGCAAACCCGCGAGGGGGAGCCAAUCCAUCAAAGCCGGUCGUAGUCCGGAUCGCAGUCUGCAACUCGACUGCGUGAAGUCGGAAUCGCUAGUAAUCGUGGAUCAGCAUGUCACGGUGAAUACGUUCCCGGGUCUU